This 181-nucleotide long non-coding RNA is filed under the name Glossina palpalis gambiensis. RNAcentral's name for it is "rhabdomyosarcoma 2 associated transcript conserved region 9". The record is from RNAcentral. Lineage: Eukaryota; Metazoa; Arthropoda; Insecta; Diptera; Glossinidae.
CGGAAACUAAGGAUCCGACGCGCGUACAACCUCAUCUUAAAAAAUGCUUUGAGGGCAUCGCCACGCUUUAUUUCACAGAAGAAUUGGAUGUUACUGUAAUGCGUUCAUCGGAACGUGAAGAAGUGCAGCUAGUUGAAGCGAUAUCCACUGCAAAGGCCCGUGGUCAAGUAGAGAAAUGGUU